CACUGGAAUGACAGCAAGAUAGACUCUAUCUGCGAAGCUGUGCCUGUCCACAGGGUUCUUGGAAAUUCUAAAUUAUGAUUGUAUUAGCAGUGUGACUUUUGGAGUUGAUGAAUUGUAUUCGUUCCCUAAGAAAGAAGGUGUUGCUAGUAUGGAUAGAUUUAUUGCUUUAUUUCAAUAGCAGCCAUAAGCAAAAGAGCUAUUAGGGCUCUAUUGUUAGACAAUGGAUCACGUUUUUUGUAGAAAUUAAGCAGGAAUAGUCAGCAUGGCCAUCUAACAAUAGGGCUACUUGUUCACAUCCAAGGAACUGCUGGCUUGACUCUGUCCUGUUCCCUUCCAGGCACAACAUCAUGGUGAAUUUCUACGGAGGCAAUCAUUGUAACCCCUGGGAGAGAAAGAAGAAAUAAUGGUUAAUCCACUACUGCACAGAGUCUGAAAUGCAGGUGUACAGCAGUGCUGAUAAAAGACCAAAACAGCAUCCUGUCAGUCAGUCCUUGUCUUUGCUGCCUCAGUCAUCUCUUCAGCCUCUGGAUCAAGUACCUGACACCCCAACCUUACUUCUGGAAACGCUUUAAAAGCAGAUGUUCUAAAAGCUCCUGCUGGGUAAUGCUGACUAGUGCUCUAAGCAUAAGUCCCAGGCAGGAGGGUGAAAAGACGGCAUUGGAGGCAGGUUCCAGAAGGUGAAAAGCUAAGGUACUUAUGCACUGUGCAGCUUUAAUAAUUGAUAGAAGUAGUUAAAACAUAGCUCUUGAAUGACUGUGCAGGGUGGUGAAGAAUAUUUUUCCCCAGUUGGGCCCCUCACCAUAUGUACAGUAUUAUUACUGUAACUGUAUUGUACCAUAUAAAUGAAUGAUUUAUGUAGUGAUUUAUCCACUCUACCAUGACUGUGUGACCAAUCUCUAUUACUAGAUCAUAUUCAAACCCUUACAAUGGCAAUAUAUGCAACUUUGUAUUCCGGAGCAUUACCUGCUCUUUAAGCAAUAAGACCCGAUAGGGCAUAUAUUAUUGGCCACUAGAGCGUGCCUUCACGCGUUCAUUAAGUGCAAGGCAGGAGACAGAAUGCUGG
RNAcentral lists this long non-coding RNA (1063 nucleotides) under Anas platyrhynchos platyrhynchos (common mallard). Its description in RNAcentral is "lncRNA (ENSAPLG00000022515.1)". The record is from RNAcentral. Lineage: Eukaryota; Metazoa; Chordata; Aves; Anseriformes; Anatidae.